UCGUAGGCGGUUUGUCGCGUCGUCUGUGAAAACCAGCAGCUCAACUGUUGGCUUGCAGGCGAUACGGGCAGACUUGAGUAUUUCAGGGGAGACUGGAAUUCCUGGUGUAGCGGUGAAAUGCGCAGAUAUCAGGAGGAACACCGGUGGCGAAGGCGGGUCUCUGGGAAAUAACUGACGCUGAGGAGCGAAAGCGUGGGUAGCGAACAGGAUUAGAUACCCUGGUAGUCCACGCCGUAAACGGUGGGCGCUAGGUGUGGGUUUCCUUCCACGGGAUCCGUGCCGUAGCUAACGCAUUAAGCGCCCCGCCUGGGGAGUACGGCCGCAAGGCUAAAACUCAAAGGAAUUGACGGGGGCCCGCACAAGCGGCGGAGCAUGUGGAUUAAUUCGAUGCAACGCGAAGAACCUUACCUGGGUUUGACAUACACCGGAAAGCCGUAGAGAUACGGCCCCCCUUGUGGUCGGUGUACAGGUGGUGCAUGGCUAUCGUCAGCUCGUGUCGUGAGAUGUUGGGUUAAGUCCCGCAACGAGCGCAACCCUUGUCCUGUGUUGCCAGCGGAUCAUGCCGGGGACUCGCAGGAGACUGCCGGGGUCAACUCGGAGGAAGGUGGGGACGACGUCAAGUCAUCAUGCCCCUUAUGUCCAGGGCUUCACACAUGCUACAAUGGCCGGUACAGAGGGCUGCGAUACCGUGAGGUGGAGCGAAUCCCUUAAAGCCGGUCUCAGUUCGGAUCGGGGUCUGCAACUCGACCCCGUGAAGUCGGAGUCGCU
This 768-nucleotide ribosomal RNA is filed under the name uncultured Actinomycetes bacterium. RNAcentral describes it as "bacterial SSU rRNA". It matches the Rfam family "Bacterial small subunit ribosomal RNA", at positions 569 to 1336 of the family's 1533-position model. Lineage: Bacteria; Bacillati; Actinomycetota; Actinomycetes. The record is from RNAcentral.